Molecule: ribosomal RNA, 490 nt
Filed under: uncultured bacterium
Lineage: Bacteria
Description: partial 16S ribosomal RNA
Rfam family: Bacterial small subunit ribosomal RNA
Source: RNAcentral
AGUGAACGCUGGCGGCAGGCCUAACACAUGCAAGUCGAACGGCAGCACAAGAGAGCUUGCUCUCUGGGUGGCGAGUGGCGGACGGGUGAGGAAUGCAUCGGAAUCUGCCCAUUUGUGGGGGAUAACCUCGGGAAACCGGGACUAAUACCGCAUACGACCUACGGGUGAAAGCAGGGGAUCUUCGGACCUUGCGCAGAUGGAUGAGCCGAUGCCGGAUUAGCUAGUUGGAGGGGUAAAGGCCCACCAAGGCGACGAUCCGUAGCUGGUCUGAGAGGAUGAUCAGCCCCACUAGAACUGAGACACGGCCCAGACUCCUACGGGAGGCAGCAGUGGGGAAGAUUGGACAAUGGGCGCAAGCCUGAUCCAGCCAUGCCGCGUGUGUGAAGAAGGCCUUCGGGUUGUAAAGCACUUUUGUUGGGAAAGAAAAGCAGCCGGUUAAUACCCGGUUGUCAUGACGGUACCCAAAGAAUAAGCACCGGCUAACUUCGUG